Long non-coding RNA from Oxyura jamaicensis (ruddy duck), 592 nucleotides. RefSeq lists it as uncharacterized. Lineage: Eukaryota; Metazoa; Chordata; Aves; Anseriformes; Anatidae. The record is from RefSeq and is a predicted model, not a curated record. The transcript has 3 exons.
ACAGGGUUCAGCCAGAAACUUGGGGUGUUCCCUGAACUGCCAGGGCAGGGCGUUGAAUGCAGGAUGCAAGGUAGCUGCUAUUGCCAGUACAGUCUUGGGGUGGGGUGGGGGUGGAGGAGCCCAAGUCAAUUUCCACAUUUUCCAGAAAGGAAAAGGACGUGGUUUGGCUUUCAGCAGCCCAGGAAAGCUCCCAUCGGCUUUACUGAGACCGGUUCCAGGUGACAGCCCCAAAGCCGCCAGCCACCCAUUUGGUGCUCGCCGCUCCAGCAGCAGUGGGACUUGAGGCAAAUGGGAUGCUCCCAAGUCUGGUCCUUGAUAAGCACUCGUUCCUGAAUCGGUGCCUCUGCAAUGCAAGUAAUAGUAAUAAAUACGCAAUUUGCAGAGUAGUGAAUAAGGCAGCGCAUUACUGAGACACUGAUAAGCGAAAACCAGCAAUAUGAGAAGGCUGUGCCAUAUGUUACCACCGGAAUCAUGCGUACUUCUUACCUAUUGCCCUUGUGGUUGCAUUGCUAUUUAGAAAAAUCUGUGUGUAGAAGGGUGUCAUAUAUGUACUCUGUGCGUGGGUGUGUGUGUGUGUGUGUGUGUGUGUGGG